Molecule: ribosomal RNA, 253 nt
Filed under: uncultured bacterium
Lineage: Bacteria
Description: partial 16S ribosomal RNA
Rfam family: Bacterial small subunit ribosomal RNA
Source: RNAcentral
GACAGAGGAUGCAAGCGUUAUCCGGAAUGAUUGGGCGUAAAGCGUCUGUAGGUGGCUUUUUAAGUCUGCCGUCAAAUCCCAGGGCUUAACCCUGGACAGGCGGUGGAAACUACCAAGCUGGAGUACGGUAGGGGCAGGGGGAAUUUCCGGUGGAGCGGUGAAAUGCGUAGAGAUCGGAAAGAACACCAACGGCGAAAGCACUCUGCUGGGCCGACACUGACACUGAGACGCGAAAGCGUGGGGAGCAAACAGG